Homo sapiens (human) is the source of this 1385-nucleotide long non-coding RNA. RefSeq lists it as uncharacterized. The transcript is spliced from 3 exons. Lineage: Eukaryota; Metazoa; Chordata; Mammalia; Primates; Hominidae. The record is from RefSeq and is a predicted model, not a curated record.
AUUUUUCCUUCUAUGGUAGGUGAUUUUUUGUCUUAUUAUUUGUUUAGUGAAUUUUUCUGCAUAGAUGUACAUGUACAUAGCUCAAAAUUCAAAAGGGAUACACUGAUAAUUCAGUCUCUCUUCCUCCUACACCUGUUCCCCAGCCUCCCUCACCUCCCUCCCAGAUGCAGCCAGUGUUACAUGAAUCUUUGCAGAGAUUUUUCUAUGCAUGUAUGAGCCAUCACCUAUUUUUGAUUCAUUCACUCGUUCAGCAACUAUUUGUUGAGCACUGUGCAUGUGCUGGGCUCUGCUGUAGGCACGGAGCUGUAGCAGUGGACAGAACAAAGACCCCGCUGCCGUGGAGCAGGGGUUAGACCGCAAAGAUCUCUCUUCCUCCCCCCUGCUCCCUUCUUAUACCCCCAGUUCUGUGCUUUUGUUAAACCUGAACUUUAUAUCUUCAAGGGUCUUCCAUGCCAGUUUGCGUAGCAUUGUCUCUUUUUAAUGAUGGUGUUUCAUUUCAUCACGUGGAUAUACCAUAGUUUCUUUUGCCAGUAUCUGGUGGAUAGACAUUCAAAUCGCUUCUGCGUUUUUUUUAUUUGCUGUUAUAAACGAUGCUGCAGUGUUCUUGUAUACAUUUCCUUUUGCACUUGUGAGAGUAGAUCUGACAAUUUAUUGGCCAAUGUAGCUAAAAUAUCCAGAGAAGUGGACAGGCAGGGCCAUAUUCAGGUGCACGAACCAUGUCAUUUGGACCUGGUCUGUGAGUCCUGCUUUGCUCUGUGUUGGCUUUAUUUUCAGAGAUAAGAAGGCUUAUUAAGUCCUUAUUCUAUUAUAUUAACUACACACCUACAAUGUGCCACAUGUCUUAGAUGCUGGAGAUAUAGCAGGAAGAAAACACACCCAAAUCCUGGCCUGCAUGGAGCUGAUAUUGUAAGAUACCCCACACCAUCAGUCAAAGGGGGCUGUUCUGCGCAUCGUGGGAUGUUCAGCAGCAUCCUGGACUCCUCCCACUAGAUGCCGAUAUACCAUGUCAGCAAGAGGAAGCCUGGAUAUGCCGUGUGUGUUUUUCUAGUGGUGAUUGUUUCUUCAUUAGAGCCUACAAAGUCGGUAUGUUUUAAAAUCCAAAACUGGAACAAAAUGAAAGCCGUCCGUGAAUCUUGGCUGAGUUUGGGCCGUAAUUCAUUCAAGUAGCUCAUUACGCAUCGGAAUUACCCAACUGCCGAAGCUUCUGAACAGCAGGCAAUUCUAGAGCUUCACUUUCAACUUUCUGCUCUUAUUGAUUUAUGAAACCUUACUACCUUCAAAAUCAUGAAAUAUUCCAGGCAUGCAAAGAGGCACAGAGAAUAUUUUAAUGAAUAUCGUGCACCCACCACCCAACCGAGGAAAUAAAGCCUGACAGUUACAAUCGA